RNAcentral lists this long non-coding RNA (297 nucleotides) under Vigna radiata. Its description in RNAcentral is "long non-coding RNA (VRAD_LNC015124)". Lineage: Eukaryota; Viridiplantae; Streptophyta; Magnoliopsida; Fabales; Fabaceae. The record is from RNAcentral.
ACCCAUUAGUAGGUGUUGAAUUUCUUCUUGCUUGGUAUUCUUUUCUUUUUCUUCUUCCUACAGAAUUUCUUCAAAAAGUUAAUCGAACCAAGCACAUGUUUCCAUGUAUCAAUCAUAGGAACUUUAAUCUCCAAUUUCUUAAAGAUCUCCAUAAAGCACUUGAACUUCUUUUCCUUCCUAUGAUUCUUCUUUUGAUGAGGAAGAGGCUUUUCAUAUGAUCUUUUCUUCCUUCCCUUCUUCCUCCUUUUCUCGAUCUUCUCCUUCCUCAACUUUCUCUUUUCCUUUUUUUUUUAUUUU